This 74-nucleotide transfer RNA is filed under the name Armatimonadota bacterium. RNAcentral describes it as "Armatimonadetes bacterium (rhizosphere metagenome) tRNA-His". It matches the Rfam family "tRNA". From Rfam's summary of the family: Transfer RNA (tRNA) molecules are approximately 80 nucleotides in length. Their secondary structure includes four short double-helical elements and three loops (D, anti-codon, and T loops). The record is from RNAcentral. Lineage: Bacteria; Bacillati; Armatimonadota.
GCGGGUAUAGCUCAGUUGGUUAGAGCGUUAGGUUGUGGCCCUAAAGGCCGUGGGUUCAAGUCCCAUUACUCGCC